RNAcentral lists this ribosomal RNA (3055 nucleotides) under Candidatus Fervidibacteria bacterium JGI 0000001-D5. Its description in RNAcentral is "bacterial LSU rRNA". It matches the Rfam family "Bacterial large subunit ribosomal RNA". The record is from RNAcentral. Lineage: Bacteria; Candidatus Fervidibacterota.
AGGGCACGCGGUGGAUGCCUCGGCACCAGGGGCCGAAGAAGGGCGUGGCAAGCUGCGAAAAGCCCCGGGGAGCCGCAAGCAGGCUGUGAUCCGGGGAUGCCCGAAUGGGGAAACCUGACGGGGAAAACCCCCGUCACCAGCAGGUGAAUCCAUAGCCUGCUGGGGGGCAGCCCGCGAACUGAAACAUCUUAGUAGCGGGACGAAAAGAAAGCAACCGCGAUGCCCCGAGUAGUGGCGAGCGAAAGGGGCAAAGCCCAAACCGUCACCGUGUAAAAGCCCGCAGGCGUUGCGGUGGCGGUGUAGCGGGACAGCACCAGAGGGGGCUGCGGACCCCUCAGGGAGUUACAAAACCCCGACCUAGCCGAAGUGGCCUGGAACGGCCCGCCGUAGAGGGUGAGAGCCCCGUAGGCGAAAGGUCAGGGGUCUCCCGGGGUGCUGCUCCCAAGUAGCUCGGGCCCCGUGAAAGCCUGAGCGAAUCUGGGGGGACCACCCUCUAAGGCUAAAUACCCCUGGUGACCGAUAGCGCACCAGUACCGUGAGGGAAAGGUGAAAAGAACGGUGGGAAGCCGAGUGAAAUAGAGCCUGAAACCGCGUGCCUACAAGCAGUCGGAGGGCUAUGCCCCGUGACAAUCACGGGGAAUGCCUGACGGCGUGCCUCUUGAAGAAUGAGCCGGGGAGUUGCCGUCGGUGGCGAGGCUAAGCGCCAUCAGGCGCGGAGCCGUAGGGAAACCGAGUCUGAAUAGGGCGUUAGUCGCCGGCGGCAGACCCGAAACCGAGCGAGCUACCCCUGCCCAGGGUGAAGUGCCCUUAACCGGGCACGGAGGCCCGAACCCGUCGGUGUUGCAAAACCGUGGGAUGAGGUGGGGGUAGCGGUGAAACGCCAAUCGAGCUCGGAGAUAGCUGGUUCUCCCCGAAACACGUGUAGGCGUGACGUCGGGCCAUUAAGCGGCGGAGGUAGAGCCACGGAUGGGGGUAGGGGGUUAACAGCCUACCAAACCCCGUCCAACUCCGAAUGCCGCCGCUGGUCCCUUUAUGGGGCUAAGGCCCGGCAGUCGGACUCCGGGGGAUAAGCUCCGGAGUCGCGAGGGAAACAGCCCAGACCGCCAGCUAAGGCCCCCAAGUCCCGGCUUAGUGGGGAACGCGGUGGGGCUCCUAAGACAGCCGGGAGGUUGGCUUAGAAGCAGCCAUCCUUUAAACAGUGCGUAACAGCUGACCGGCCGAGGAGCCCUGCGCGGAAGAUUCAACGGGGCUAAGCCGGGCGCCGAAGCUGCGGGCUUGGCGGAACUGCCUAUAAGGCAUUCCGUCAGGCGGUAGGGGAGCGUUCCGCCUGCUGUGAAGCCCGACCGAAAGGACGGGUGGAGCGGGCGGAAGUGAGAAUCCCGGCACGAGUAGCGAUAAGGCCGGUGAGAAUCCGGCCCGCCGGAAGCCCAAGGUUUCCGACGCAACGCUCGUCGGCGUCGGGUUAGGCGGUCCUAAGCCGAGGCCGUUCGGCGUAGGCGAUGGGCAGCCGGUUGACAUUCCGGCCCCACCGACCUCCGCCAUCAGGGAUGGGGGACGCUCCCAAGGGAGCCUACGCGGCGAUGGUCGUCCGCGGCGACCGUGGAGUGAGCCAUCCGAAAGGAUGGUUCGCUUGGCGGGAGCGAGCCGCCUUUGUGCGGCGAAGUGGCGCCCCAAGGGAGCCAAGAAAAGCCCUUACCGAGUCCAUCCCCAAAAGGGAUGGCGCGGAGCGUCGGUGACCGUACCGGAAACCGCCACAGGUGGGCGAGGAGAGUAUCCACAGGCGCGCGGGAUAACCCCUGCCAAGGAACUCUGCAAAAUGUCCCCGUAACUUCGGGAGAAGGGGAGCCGUAGUAGGGUGAAAGGGCCUUCGCGCCCAAGUAGCCCGAGGCGGUCGCAGAUAAGCGGCCGGGGGCGACUGUUUAACAAAAACACAGGUUCCUGCCAACCCGAAAGGGGAGGUAUAGGGGCCGACGCCUGGCCAGUGCCCGAAGGUUAAGGGGACGGGUUCGCCGGGCUCUCGCCCGGCAAAGCUCGCGCCCCGAAGCCCGGGUAAACGCCGGCCGUAACCCUGACGGUCCUAAGGUAGCGAAAUUCCUUGUCGGGUAAGUUCCGACCCGCACGAAAGGCGUAACGACUUCGGCGCUGUCUCGGCGGGGGGCCCGGUGAAACUGUGGUGUCCGUGAAGACGCGGACUACCCGCGGCGGGACGGAAAGACCCCGUGGAGCUUUACUGCAGCCUGGCCUUGGGCUUUGGGGCGGGAUGCAGAGAAUAGGUGGGAGCCUGUGAAGCUCGCCCUCCGGGGCGGGUGGAGGCGCCAGUGGAAUACCACCCUUCCCGCUCUUGGGUCCUAACUUGGUCCCGUGAAUCCGGGCCAAGGACAGGGUCAGGUGGGCAGUUUGGCUGGGGCGGCGGCCUCCUAAAAGGUAACGGAGGCGUCCAAAGGUCCCCUCAGGCGGGAUGGAAAUCCGCCGUGGAGUGCAAAGGCAUAAGGGGGCCUGACUGUGAGGCUCACAAGCCGAGCAGCCGCGAAAGCGGGGCUUAGUGACCCGGCGGUUUGGGAGUGGGACCGCCGCCGAUCAACGGAUAAAAGCUACCCCGGGGAUAACAGGCUAAUGGCGCCCGAGCGUCCCCAGCGACGGCGCCGUUUGGCACCUCGAUGUCGGCUCAUCGCAUCCUGGGGCUGAAGCCGGUCCCAAGGGUUGGGCUGUUCGCCCAUUAAAGCGGUACGUGAGCUGGGUUCAGACCGUCGUGAGACAGGUCGGUCCCUAUCCGCCGCGGGCGCAGGAGGCUUGAGGGGGGCUCGCCCUAGUACGAGAGGACCGGGCGGGACCAGCCUCUGGUGUCCCGGCUGUCGCGCCAGCGGCACGCGCCGGGUAGCCAUGCUGGGUCGGGAUAACCGCUGAAAGCAUCUAAGCGGGAAGCCCACCCCAAGAUAAGGCCUCCCACGGGGGCAACCCGGUAAGGGCCCGGGAAGACUACCCGGUUGAUGGGCCGGAGGUGGAAGCCCAGCAAUGGGUGGAGCUGACCGGUCCCAAUAGCCCGAGGGCUUGACUG